RNAcentral lists this ribosomal RNA (497 nucleotides) under uncultured bacterium. Its description in RNAcentral is "partial 16S ribosomal RNA". It matches the Rfam family "Bacterial small subunit ribosomal RNA", at positions 28 to 507 of the family's 1533-position model. The record is from RNAcentral.
GACGAACGCUGGCGGCGUGCCUAAUACAUGCAAGUUGAGCGCUGAAGGUUGGUACUUGUACCGACUGGAUGAGCAGCGAACGGGUGAGUAACGCGUGGGGAAUCUGCCUUUGAGCGGGGGACAACAUUUGGAAACGAAUGCUAAUACCGCAUAAAAACUUUAAACACAAGUUUUAAGUUUGAAAGAUGCAAUUGCAUCACUCAAAGAUGAUCCCGCGUUGUAUUAGCUAGUUGGUGAGGUAAAGGCUCACCAAGGCGAUGAUACAUAGCCGACCUGAGAGGGUGAUCGGCCACAUUGGGACUGAGACACGGCCCAAACCCCUACGGGAGGCAGCAGUAGGGAAUCUUCGGCAAUGGACGAAAGUCUGACCGAGCAACGCCGCGUGAGUGAAGAAGGUUGUCGGAUCGUAAAACUCUGUUGGUAGAGAAGAACGUUGGUGAGAGUGGAAAGCUCAUCAAGUGACGGUAACUACCCAGAAAGGGACGGCUAACUACGUG